CCUAGGCAAAAAAAUACAUGAUGAAGGUUUGCCAAGUACCCAGAAGUGGGUCAUUUUUUGUCACUUACAUUCCACAGGCUUGUAAUUAAUAAAUGUAAAAUUGCAGGCACAAGAACAGAAGCCUAAUUAAGACUAAUCUAAAAUAUCACCCGCUAUGUCUUUAUGUGAGUUAGAGUUAAGAAUACUGCAUGCCUGCUAUUUUGUUCCAUAUAUUUAUCUCCUUCCCCUACCCUCUGUGCUUUAUUUUCACAUACACCUUUCUGCCAGACAAGCCUAACAAUUGCCAUGGCUUUACUUUCUGACCACUGAAAUGCAGUCACUGAACUCUCUAUUACAGCAGGUCUAUUACAAAGUGCUUAGUUUUUUUUAAAUGCUCCAAAGUAAACAUAAUUGGGGCUUUUCCUGCCAGAAGCAGUGGACAAAUUUCUGUGUUUAUCUGAGACCAUCCAACUAUAAAAGAAAAUCAAAUUAAAUGAUGCUAGAAGCUGAGAAAAAUUAAUCUAAAAGCUACAGUCCUCAGAAAACUUGGAAUCCAAGAGCCUAACCUGGAAUAUGCCCUUGUAACAAUUAAAAUGUAAAAGAGUUAAGCCUGUAAUCAAAAUUUAAAAAUCAAGUUAAGGAAGUCUGAAGCUGAUCUAAAAUAGAGGCAGAAUGCUUUAGAGCAGUGUGCUUGGACCUAAUCCACAGCCCAAUAAGUCAAGCCUCACACUGAUUGCGAUGGGCUUUGGCUCAGGUCCUUAGCCCAUUAGGAGUAAGAGUGUGACAGUAAUGCUCUUUAUUGUCGUCAGUGUAACAUGGACUUAGCAUAUUUACCUGGUGGCACUGCCACUCCUGGGGUGUACAUACAUCCCUGCCUCAUCUUUUGAAGAGGUAUAUUCACUUUUCAAACAUGGAACUUCCCAUUCUGAGACACGUUAACAUACACAUACAGCCAGGCUCCUAGGAUCCCAAUGGAUUUUUCGUGUCUCCAAACACAUCUCCUCAGACAGACACAGACAAAUUUAUGAUACAAAGCUGACCACCAUCUGAAUCUUUCAGAAUCAAAUAUCUUGACAGGUACCCAUACCCACUGCACUCAUAAACCCUAACCUACCUUCAGCAGCUUGAAGUGUGAAGCCGGGACAAUGAAGUGUCUGUUCUGUUUCUUUGUGCAAAUACUGCAACUGCACAAGGGGAAAGAAAAAGAAAAAAACCAUGACUAUUCUAUAGGCAGUUAUAACCUGCACUGUAACAAUCGUAUCUAGCCUAAAGCUCUCAACAAGUUAGAUUUCACUGAAAACUAUAAUUAUUUUUACCUGGUUGUCAUCAGGGUGGAUAUUAGAGAGACAAGAGAUUCAACAGAAGCUGGUCCAAUAAAAGAUAUGACCUCACCCACGUCGUCUCUCUAAUAUCCUGGGACCAACACAGCUACAACAACAUUGCAAACAUCAGGUUUGAUGACAGGAGGGGACAGACUGCAACUAUGGCAUAUGUAUUUGUGUAUGCAUGCAUUCAGUCUAGAGACUUACGUUUCCCUGUAAUAUGGAAAGUAAGCUUAUCAAAACUGAGAGCUAUAUAACUGUCUUCUCUCCACAAUACAACUCUCAGUGGAUAGAUCAAUGCUGAACUGUGGCCUUGAGAAAUCCAUGUAAAGUUUGCCAACUUAAUCCAAAUGCUACCAAUAUUAAUUACUUUGCAAACCAGGGAAACAGAUUUGUAGUGACAUCUGAGCUAGAAAGAAACUAAUUCUGAGUCUGUGGAAAGACCAUGCUGAAAUUAGACUAUUUUAUAGGGCUUCAAUAUAUAUCCCUCACCACAUGUUGGUAGUAAUGUGUUCUCCGUUUGAUAAGAGAAUGCCAGGAAAGGAUCAAACCCCAUGACCUUGUGAGAUCUGUUGGAAAGCAUUUUGUUUUGAUGAUGUAUAAAAUGCAGGUCCUGAGCAUUUCUGGUUGUUAAAACCUUGACAAUUUUUUUACAAGCACAGACCCACAUGGAGCUGGUAUUCUGCACUCCUUGUUGUGCAGAAUCCUGUUAAACAUCUGCCAUGUUUUACUCCAGAUAUGGCUACAUUUUAGUAGUGGGGGAAGUGGUUCCUGUAUGUAUAGGAGUUUGUAAAAUUCUGUAUAUAUGUAAGAUAUUGUUGUUAAUAAUAAUACUAAAUAUAACACUUUGCAUGUGUUUAGAACCUUCCAUUCAUGGAUCUCAUUACAUUUAUUUAGCUUCACAGCAUCCCUGCAAGAUAUCCAAGUAUUACUGUCUUCAUUGUGUGGCUGAGGAAACUAAGGCAUAGCUAUGGUAACUUUUCAGGAUCACAGGGGAAGUCUGUGUAAUUAUUAACUGUAGUAGUUGUAGACUGUGUAAUAAUAAUCAUCACAUCUUACAAAUUGUAAUGAGCAAGUCACUUUGAUCUGCAUUUCCACUUCAUAAAGGACAUUUAAUAUUUUCCGCA
Long non-coding RNA from Chelonia mydas (Green sea turtle), 2428 nucleotides. RefSeq lists it as uncharacterized. The record is from RefSeq and is a predicted model, not a curated record. The transcript has 2 exons. NCBI's taxonomy places the organism in Eukaryota, Metazoa, Chordata, Testudines, Cheloniidae.